Long non-coding RNA from Coregonus clupeaformis (lake whitefish), 1014 nucleotides. RefSeq lists it as uncharacterized. The record is from RefSeq and is a predicted model, not a curated record. The transcript is spliced from 6 exons. NCBI's taxonomy places the organism in Eukaryota, Metazoa, Chordata, Actinopteri, Salmoniformes, Salmonidae.
CAACAGCCCACUAAUGUUCUACAGAUGAAGAAGUCAUAUCUACACGUUCCUGAAUCUCUGCCCCAAGCUGAAACAAAACAAUAAGUUUGAGAGCCGAGCUGUGGAAGGUACUGACACCUGAGCAGACCACAUCCCCUGAUGGCUGAGCUGAGAGUGCUGAGAGACAUGAUGGUGGAGCAGAGAGUGGAGCUGAGGAACGUGGAGGCCAGACUGAGGGACAGCGAGGACAAGCGUUUGAGACCAGAGAGACAGACGGUGAGGGAAAGGUUGACCAGCAGAAAGAAGAGAUGAUGGCUCUGCUAGUGGAACUGGAAAGAAAGAAUGCAGAUGAAAACGAGCCUAGGGCAAAACAUUUUCAGGCAAGAGAAAACAUGCAAGGAGAUUUUAAGAAUUAUCGUGUCUCAUUUCAGCCUUGGAUGCCAGACUGACAGCCAGUGAGGCUUUGGAGGUCAGACUGAGCGUCAGUGAGAGCCAGGUGGAGGAGCCGAAGACAGAAUGCAGCAGCUAAGUUGGUGUUCUCUGCUGGUUUGGGUUCAGGAGACGUUGGACCCUACAAUGGCGAAUUCCCAUUGAAGUUCAGCAGAGUCCUCAUCAAUAUCGGCAAGGCUUAAAACCCUUUUGCAGGCACAGUUCUAGUUACAGCUGUCUUGGUAUCCAGUCUACCAGGGUCGGGAGUCCGUUCCAAUUCAAUUUAGUCCAUUUGGAAAGUAAAUAGAAAUUCCAAUUCAGUUUACUUCCUGAAUUUACUGAAUUGAAAUGGAAUUUACCCCAACCCUGUGGUCUAGACAGGAUGUCACAUAUCCCUUGGUUACUCGGAAGAAAGACAACAUUGAUAUCUCUUACUGUUUCUCCUGUGCAGGUGCGUUCACAGCACCAGUGCGAGGCGUCUACUACUUCAGAUUCACUGUCAAGGAUGACAGUGACAACGUUUACUAUGGAGCACGCCUGCUAAAGAACGGCAAUUAAGCAAUAAGGCAAGAGGGGUUGUGGUAUAUGGCCAAUAUAUGACGCAAC